This 478-nucleotide ribosomal RNA is filed under the name uncultured bacterium. Its description in RNAcentral is "partial 16S ribosomal RNA". It matches the Rfam family "Bacterial small subunit ribosomal RNA", at positions 28 to 523 of the family's 1533-position model. The record is from RNAcentral.
GACGAACGCUGGCGGCGUGCUUAACACAUGCAAGUCGAACGGUAAGGCCCUUCGGGGUACACGAGUGGCGAACGGGUGAGUAACACGUGGGUGAUCUGCCCUGCACUUCGGGAUAAGCCUGGGAAACUGGGUCUAAUACCGGAUAGGACUCCGGACUGCAUGGUCUGGGGUGGAAAGCUUUUGCGGUGUGGGAUGGGACCGCGGCCUAUCAGCUUGGUGGGGGGGUGAUGGCCUACCAAGGCGACGAAGGGUAGCCGGCCUGAGAGGGUGCCCGGCCACACAGGACCUGAGAUACGGCCCAGACUCCUCCGCGAGGCAGCAGUGGGGAAUAUUGCACAAUGGGCGCGAGCCUGAUGCAGCGACGCCACGUGAGGGAUGACGGCCUUCGUGUUGUAAACCUCUUUCAGCAUCGACGAAGCGAAAGUGACGGUAGGUGCAGAAGAAGGACCGGCCAACUACGUGCCAGCAGCCGCCGUAA